UGUAGUUUGUCUUUUACUGAACUUUUUUGAACUGGUGAAGGAUUUAAAAGAAGAAUGUAAAACUUUGUUAACUCAAUCUUCUCCGUUUCUUCAUGGCAACUUUUGCACUGAUUGGAUGCUUUUAUUAAACCAACUUGACCAUUUUUUAACGCAUGAUCGUCUUAAAGUUUCUGGCAAACUCGUAAACCUUCGCGGUUGCUCUUCACGCCUCCCAAACUUUUUAUUGGAAGAUUCUUUAAAACUAAAAGAAGUUAUUUUAAUAUCUAAUAAACGUUCGCAGAACAGUUUCAGUGAGCUGUCACUUGACUUAUUUUAUAUGCUUCAAGUGCUCGAGCAAACGUCGUCAGCAGAUCUUUUCAUUAAUGAACAAGAAAAAAUUACUAAAAACUUUCAAAGCAACCCUCAUAAGUAUAUGCUUUAUCCGUCCAGACUUUGCAACCCUUUUCUUGUUUAUCUCUGCAGCAUUAAAGGAACUUAAUGAUAACACUUCUGCUGUACUUUUGUAUUUUUCGACUGAAGUAUUAACUUUGGACGGU
Molecule: long non-coding RNA, 536 nt
Organism: Zophobas morio
Lineage: Eukaryota; Metazoa; Arthropoda; Insecta; Coleoptera; Tenebrionidae
Exons: 6
Source: RefSeq, a predicted model, not a curated record